This is a long non-coding RNA of Haliotis rubra (blacklip abalone), 143 nucleotides long. RefSeq lists it as uncharacterized. The record is from RefSeq and is a predicted model, not a curated record. The transcript has 2 exons. NCBI's taxonomy places the organism in Eukaryota, Metazoa, Mollusca, Gastropoda, Lepetellida, Haliotidae.
UUUCGGAACACUUGUUUGCAUCAACAAUAUUUUUAACAAGCACUACAAGCUCGUUCCAAGUCAUGAUUGAAUUUAUCCUAAAGACUCCUGGAAAUUUAUGUUCGAUACAUACUAGUCAUUUUUAAAUAUGUGCAAUUUGCAAA